AGUGAGCGCUGGCGGUAGGCCUAACACAUGCGAGUCGAACGGCAGCACAGUAAGAGCUUGCUCUUACGGGUGGCGAGUGGCGGACGGGUGAGGAAUACAUCGGCAUCUACUUUUUCGUGGGGGAUAACGUAGGGAAACUUACGCUAAUACCGCAUACGACCUACGGGUGAAAGCAGGGGAUCUUCGGACCUUGCGCGAUUGAAUGAGCCGAUGUCGGAUUAGCUAGUUGGCGGGGUAAAGGCCCACCAAGGCGACGAUCCGUAGCUGGUCUGAGAGGAUGAUCAGCCACACUGGAACUGAGACACGGUCCAGACUCCUACGGGAGGCAGCAGUGGGGAAUAUUGGACAAUGGGCGCAAGCCUGAUCCAGCCAUACCGCGUGGGUGAAGAAGGCCUUCGGGUUGUAAAGCCCUUUUGUUGGGAAAGAAAAGCAGCAGGUUAAUACCCCGCUGUUCUGACGGUACCCAAAGAAUAAGCACCGGCUAACUUCGUG
This 492-nucleotide ribosomal RNA is filed under the name uncultured bacterium. Its description in RNAcentral is "partial 16S ribosomal RNA". It matches the Rfam family "Bacterial small subunit ribosomal RNA", at positions 29 to 507 of the family's 1533-position model. The record is from RNAcentral.